This 596-nucleotide long non-coding RNA is filed under the name Mytilus galloprovincialis (Mediterranean mussel). Lineage: Eukaryota; Metazoa; Mollusca; Bivalvia; Mytilida; Mytilidae. The record is from RNAcentral.
AGUAAAUAAAAAUCUAUGAAAUUUGACACAAGGUUUAUGACCACAAAAGGAAGGUUGGGAUUGAUUUUGGUAGUUUUGGUUCCAACUGUUUUAGAAUUAGAGGCCAAAAAAGGCCCAAAUAAGCAUUAUUCUUGGUUUUCGCAAAACGUCGUAGUCCGAAGACUUUUUGUUUUCGCGCUAUAACUUUCGUUGAGUAAAUAGAAAUCUAUGAAAUUUAAACACAAGGUUUAUGACCACAAAAGGAAGAUUGGGAUUGAUUUUGGAAGUUUUGGUCCCAACUGUUUAGGAAUAAGGGGCCAAAAAAGGGCCCAAAUAAGCAUUAUUCUUGGUUUUUUGCACAAUAACUUUAGUAUAAGUAAAUAGAAAUCAAUGAAAUUUAAACACAGGGUUGAUGAACACAAAAGGAUGGUUGGUAUUGAUAUUGGGAGUUUUGGUCCCAACAGUUUAGGAAUAAGGGGCCCAAAGGAUCGUAAAUUAAACUUUGUUUGAUUUCAUCAAAAAUUGAAUAAUUGGGGUACUUUGAUUUGCCAAAUCUAACUGUGUAUGUAGAUUCUUAAUUUUUGGUCCCGUUUUCAAAUUGGUCUACAUUAAAGUCC